UCUAGAUUUAGGUCUUUAAUCUUCAACCCUUUCACCUAUAAAAAAGAGUUGGUCGAACCUCUCUCACUCUCCUACUCUUCAUGCACCUCCAAGGCUACCACAACUCCUAGGAGAGCCUUGAUCCACCUACAACCCAUUGAAGCUUCCGCAAACCACCACAAAAACCGUAAAAGAGAAGAGCUCAAUGCCAUCACAACUUGUGUUAGCUGAGAUUAGAGGAUGUUCAGUUCCUUCAUCAAUUAUUUAGGGUCAUAAAUAACAAGAGUAUAGCAGUUUUUGAAGCAGAGAAGUACUAACAUACCAGCUUUACAAAUUAAUAAGCUUACAAAUAGGUAAGUAAGACAUGUAUUAACUUGUAGUAAAGAUCAUUUAAGUCUUCCAUAAACUAAUAAUUUUAACAAUCAAUACACUGUGUCUAAAUUGAUUUCUCAAAUCAUUAGUGUGAUUAUACUGUGUAGUUCACCACUAUUGGCAACAUAACCCUGUAGCAUCUGCAAUUCACUGUAGGGUUGUUCUUAGCCAUGAUGGGUAGAUAUGUGCCUUAUCUUCCUGUUGUGCAAGGUACAUGACACAUGUCCUAACAUGAAACAUAGCUUAUUACUUAUUCAUUCUCUUCAAGUACACAGUGAACCUUUUAUCAGACUGAUGUCACUUCACUUCGAGAAAAGAAGAGACCAGAAGGACCUCCAUUAGGUAGCAGAGCCAACCUUACAACACUUUCAGCACCUUCUUCAAUACUAAAAUAGCCAAUAUUGAAGUUUAAAUCUGUUUUCACAAAGCCAGGGCAAACAGCAUUGAUGCAGAAAGAUGGGUACUUCUUGGCAAGGACUCUUGUGUAGGCAGUCAAAGCAGCUUUUGAGACUAUAUAUGCAGAAAGCACAUCUGGCCACCCAUUGGUUUGUAAUGAACCCUCUUUAAAACCAUUUAGAAAC
This 932-nucleotide long non-coding RNA is filed under the name Phaseolus vulgaris (common bean). Its description in RNAcentral is "long non-coding RNA (PVUL_LNC001431)". The record is from RNAcentral. Lineage: Eukaryota; Viridiplantae; Streptophyta; Magnoliopsida; Fabales; Fabaceae.